RNAcentral lists this ribosomal RNA (253 nucleotides) under uncultured bacterium. RNAcentral describes it as "partial 16S ribosomal RNA". It matches the Rfam family "Bacterial small subunit ribosomal RNA", at positions 524 to 776 of the family's 1533-position model. The record is from RNAcentral.
UACGUAGGGUGCGAGCGUUAAUCGGAAUUACUGGGCGUAAAGCGUGCGCAGGCGGUUGUGCAAAACAGAUGUGAAAUCCCCGGGCUUAACCUGGGAACUGCAUUUGUGACUGCACAGCUGGAGUGCGGCAGAGGGGGAUGGAAUUCCGCGUGUAGCAGUGAAAUGCGUAGAUAUGCGGAGGAACACCGAUGGCGAAGGCAAUCCCCUGGGCCUGCACUGACGCUCAUGCACGAAAGCGUGGGGAGCAAACAGG